AUGCGGCGCGCGAGGCCGCCGCCGGGGCCGGGGCUGGAGGGCGAGGAGGUGCGGUACCGCGGGGUGCGGCGGCGCCCGUCGGGCCGGUACGCGGCCGAGAUCCGCGACCCGGCCAAGAAGACCCCGAUCUGGCUCGGCACCUUCGACUCCGCCGAGGCCGCCGCGCGCGCCUACGACGCCGCCGCCCGGAACCUCCGCGGCGCCGCCGCGCGCACCAACUUCCCCGCCUCCCCCGCCGCGGCGCCGCCGCGCGCGCCGCCCCCCGCCCCCGUCGCCGCGCCGGCGACGAUGGCCGCGGCGGCCACGUCCAGCCACAGCAGCACGAUCGAGUCCUGGAGCGGCGGGAACGUCCCGCCCACCAGCGUCCUCUUCCGCGCCGCCGCGAUCGGCGCCCCGGCCAUCGAGGAGGACUGCCGCAGCUACUGCGGCUCCUCCUCGUCCGCGGUGUGCGAGGACGGCGCGUCGGGGGGCGCCGCCGCGGCCGCAGACGAGGCCGCCGCGCCGCCGCGCCCCUCCUCGUCCUCGCUGCCCUUCGAUCUGAACCUGCCGGACCCCGCGGCCGCCGCCGACGAGAUGGACUGGCGCUGCGACACGCUGCUCCGCCUCUGA
Molecule: ribosomal RNA, 609 nt
Filed under: Triticum aestivum (bread wheat)
Lineage: Eukaryota; Viridiplantae; Streptophyta; Magnoliopsida; Poales; Poaceae
Description: partial small subunit ribosomal RNA
Source: RNAcentral